RNAcentral lists this ribosomal RNA (279 nucleotides) under uncultured bacterium. Its description in RNAcentral is "partial 16S ribosomal RNA". It matches the Rfam family "Bacterial small subunit ribosomal RNA", at positions 506 to 784 of the family's 1533-position model. The record is from RNAcentral.
UGCCAGCAGCCGCGGUAAUACGGAGGGUGCAAGCGUUGUCCGGAUUUAUUGGGUUUAAAGGGUGCGUAGGCGGACUUAUAAGUCAGUGGUGAAAUCUUGCAGCUCAACUGUAAAAUUGCCAUUGAUACUGUAAGUCUUGAGUUUGAUUGAGGUGGUUGGAAUGCGUGGUGUAGCGGUGAAAUGCAUAGAGAUCACGCAGAACGCCGAUUGCGAAGGCAGAUCACUAAAUCAAAACUGACGCUGAGGCACGAAAGCGUGGGGAGCGAACAGGAUUAGAUA